Molecule: ribosomal RNA, 439 nt
Filed under: uncultured bacterium
Lineage: Bacteria
Description: bacterial SSU rRNA
Rfam family: Bacterial small subunit ribosomal RNA
Source: RNAcentral
UGAGGAAUAUUGGUCAAUGGGCGAGAGCCUGAACCAGCCAAGUCGCGUGAGGGAUGACGGUCCUACGGAUUGUAAACCUCUUUUGUCGGGGAGUAAAGAGCGGCACGUGUGCCGCGUUGAGAGUACCCGAAGAAAAAGCAUCGGCUAACUCCGUGCCAGCAGCCGCGGUAAUACGGAGGAUGCGAGCGUUAUCCGGAUUUAUUGGGUUUAAAGGGUGCGCAGGCGGCAUGGCAAGUCAGCGGUCAAAUCCCGGGGCUCAACCCCGGUUCGCCGUUGAAACUGCCGCGCUAGAGUAUGUGCGAGGAGAGCGGAAUGCGUGGUGUAGCGGUGAAAUGCAUAGAUAUCACGCAGAACGCCGAUUGCGAAGGCAGCCCUCCAGCACACCACUGACGCUGAGGCACGAAAGCGUGGGUAUCGAACAGGAUUAGAUACCCUGGUA